This 810-nucleotide ribosomal RNA is filed under the name Cincticostella fusca. RNAcentral's name for it is "12S ribosomal RNA". The stretch from base 407 to 804 matches the Rfam family "Microsporidia small subunit ribosomal RNA", at positions 751 to 1304 of the family's 1311-position model. Lineage: Eukaryota; Metazoa; Arthropoda; Insecta; Ephemeroptera; Ephemerellidae. The record is from RNAcentral.
ACCUAUUGCGCAGAAAUUAAGUAUUAGUUUAUGGACCUUUUGCAAAACUACGAUAAUAAAGUUUUAUUUUGGUAAAUGUGCUUUCUGUAAGGCUGCUUUACAUGUAAAAUAUGGUUUCUAAAGGAAUGGGGAAAUAGCCGCAGUAUUUAAUAUUUAUUAUCAAGGGUACUUGGAAUAGGUAAGCUUAAAUAGUUUUGGCCAAAUUUGUGCCAGCGACCGCGGUUAGACAAAUAACACGAGAUAGCAUUCUUGGAUAGAGUUAAUCGGUAAAAAGGGACCAAAACAGCAGAUUUUUAGGUGAAAUUUUAAUAGUGGGCAAGGACAAAUUAUAACCCAAUGAAACUUAGAAGCCCAGGUAGUAAACUAGGAUUAGAGACCCUACUAUUCUGGAAGUUAAGGAAGGUCCGGAGUAGUAAAAGUUAGGGGCUUAAAACUCAAAAAAUUUGGCGGUGGUUUAGCUGAUCAGAGGAACUUGCCCUGUAAUCGAUAACCCCCGAGGAUUCUACUUAAACUUGCAGUCAGCUUGUAUACCGCCGUCAUCAGGAAAUUUUCAGAAAGUAUUUUCAGGAGGUCGUGAGAUCAUAUGUCAGGUCAAGGUGCAGCUAAUGUUUAAGCAGAGGUGAGUUACAAUAAAAUAAUUUAAUACGGAAGGUUAUGUGUAAUAAGACCGGAAGGUGGAUUUGGAAGUAAUACUGUUAACCAUAAGGGUAUAAUAGCAGCUCUAAACCGUGCACACAUCGCCCGUCGCUCUCAGGUAUAAUGAGAUAAGUCGUAACAUAGUAGGUGUACCGGAAGGUGUACCUAGAUUGA